Molecule: ribosomal RNA, 704 nt
Filed under: Moraxella sp.
Lineage: Bacteria; Pseudomonadati; Pseudomonadota; Gammaproteobacteria; Moraxellales; Moraxellaceae
Description: bacterial SSU rRNA
Rfam family: Bacterial small subunit ribosomal RNA
Source: RNAcentral
UAUCUAGCUUGCUAGAUAUGAUUAGUGGCGGACGGGUGAGUAACAUUUAGGAAUCUGCCUAGUAGUGGGGGAUAGCUCGGGGAAACUCGAAUUAAUACCGCAUACGACCUACGGGUGAAAGGGGGCGCAAGCUCUUGCUAUUAGAUGAGCCUAAAUCAGAUUAGCUAGUUGGUGGGGUAAAGGCCCACCAAGGCGACGAUCUGUAACUGGUCUGAGAGGAUGAUCAGUCACACCGGAACUGAGACACGGUCCGGACUCCUACGGGAGGCAGCAGUGGGGAAUAUUGGACAAUGGGGGCAACCCUGAUCCAGCCAUGCCGCGUGUGUGAAGAAGGCCUUUUGGUUGUAAAGCACUUUAAGCAGGGAGGAGAGGCUAAUGGUUAAUACCCAUUAGAUUAGACGUUACCUGCAGAAUAAGCACCGGCUAACUCUGUGCCAGCAGCCGCGGUAAUACAGAGGGUGCGAGCGUUAAUCGGAAUUACUGGGCGUAAAGCGAGUGUAGGUGGCUCAUUAAGUCACAUGUGAAAUCCCCGGGCUUAACCUGGGAACUGCAUGUGAUACUGGUGGUGCUAGAAUAUGUGAGAGGGAAGUAGAAUUCCAGGUGUAGCGGUGAAAUGCGUAGAGAUCUGGAGGAAUACCGAUGGCGAAGGCAGCUUCCUGGCAUAAUAUUGACACUGAGAUUCGAAAGCGUGGGUAGCAAACAGG